RNAcentral lists this transfer RNA (83 nucleotides) under compost metagenome. Its description in RNAcentral is "tRNA-Leu". It matches the Rfam family "tRNA". Rfam says of the family: Transfer RNA (tRNA) molecules are approximately 80 nucleotides in length. Their secondary structure includes four short double-helical elements and three loops (D, anti-codon, and T loops). Further hydrogen bonds mediate the characteristic L-shaped molecular structure. tRNAs have two regions of fundamental functional importance: the anti-codon, which is responsible for specific mRNA codon recognition, and the 3' end, to which the tRNAs corresponding amino acid is attached (by aminoacyl-tRNA synthetases). tRNAs cope with the degeneracy of the genetic code in two manners: having more than one tRNA (with a specific anti-codon) for a particular amino acid; and 'wobble' base-pairing, i.e. permitting non-standard base-pairing at the 3rd anti-codon position. The record is from RNAcentral.
GCCCGGGUGGUGAAAUUGGUAGACACGCUGUCUUCAGGUGGCAGUGCCUCACGGUGUGCUGGUUCGAGUCCAGUCCCGGGUAC